CGGGAUAGCUCAGUUGGUAGAGCAGAGGACUGAAAAUCCUCGUGACCC
This 48-nucleotide transfer RNA is filed under the name Ageratum conyzoides. RNAcentral's name for it is "partial tRNA-Phe". The record is from RNAcentral. Lineage: Eukaryota; Viridiplantae; Streptophyta; Magnoliopsida; Asterales; Asteraceae.